RNAcentral lists this ribosomal RNA (222 nucleotides) under uncultured bacterium. Its description in RNAcentral is "partial 16S ribosomal RNA". It matches the Rfam family "Bacterial small subunit ribosomal RNA", at positions 328 to 539 of the family's 1533-position model. The record is from RNAcentral.
ACGCUCGACACCUACGGAGGCAGCAGUAGGGAAUCUUCCACAAUGGACGCAAGUCUGAUGGAGCAACGCCGCGUGAGUGAAGAAGGUUUUCGGAUCGUAAAGCUCUGUUGUUGGUGAAGAAGGAUAGAGGUAGUAACUGGCCUUUAUUUGACGGUAAUCAACCAGAAAGUCACGGCUAACUACGUGCAAGCAGCCGCGGUAAUCUGAGCGGGCUGGCAAGGC